GGAUUAGAUACCCUGGUAGUCCACGCCGUAAACGAUGAGUACUAGCUAUUGGAGGUAUUGACUCCUUCAGUGGCGCAGCUAACGCAUUAAGUACUCCGCCUGGGAAGUACGGUCGCAAGACUAAAACUCAAAGGAAUUGACGGGGGCCCGCACAAGCGGUGGAUUAUGUGGUUUAAUUCGAAGCAACGCGCAGAACCUUACCUAGGCUUGAAAUCCUACGAAUACCGAGUAAUUUUGGUAGUGCCCGCAAGGGAAUGUAGUGACAGGUGCUGCAUGGCUGUCGUCAGCUCGUGCCG
RNAcentral lists this ribosomal RNA (296 nucleotides) under uncultured bacterium. Its description in RNAcentral is "partial 16S ribosomal RNA". It matches the Rfam family "Bacterial small subunit ribosomal RNA", at positions 775 to 1067 of the family's 1533-position model. The record is from RNAcentral.